Molecule: long non-coding RNA, 967 nt
Filed under: Gossypium barbadense (sea-island cotton)
Lineage: Eukaryota; Viridiplantae; Streptophyta; Magnoliopsida; Malvales; Malvaceae
Description: long non-coding RNA (GBAR_LNC013838)
Source: RNAcentral
CUGAGUUUACAACGGUAUGGGUUGUCUCCUUCCACACUAACCCUAUCCUGGCAUCUACUCUUUCGGAUGAUGAGAGAAGGGAGCCCACAAUUCCACCCUCAUCAUCAUCAUCCAUAUGGGUACCAACCUCAAUGGUGUCAAGUCCUUGCUUUUAGCAUGGAGGAACCUCUACAUUUGAUCAACACGGUCCUUUUCCAUGCCUCCAACGACGACACCAUAAGCAGCCUUCCGCUCAUCUGCCAUCCGUCAUGCAUCCAUAUUGACCUUCAGUUUCGUAUCUCUAGGUGCUUCCACUUUGCAGUCCUUGGCCUAAUGGGUCAGCAUAGGUCCAUGAGUGAGGUUAUGCACUCUAAAAUCUUUUUGGAGAGUCCUUGCCCAAAUCAGAGCAUCUUGGGGUACCUUGGACCAGCUCCAUGUUCCACACAUUCCAAAAUUGCCAUAGCACAAGUAGAAGGCUCGUGAAGGUCUUCUUGUCCAAAGUUGCACAAGGCUUGUGUGGGUUGGGGGAAGAAGGGAAAUGUUUUUAGUUUUUAAACAUCAUCCCUCAUUAACUGCAUGUUGCCAUCUGUGUAUUUAAUUCCUUUUAUGAUGAAUGAUAUAUAAAGCAAUUGAAGGCAUCAAUAUUGCAAAUUUAGAGCAUAGCAGUUUUGAGCUGUUUACCUGAAAAUAUGUAACACUAAAGUUAUACUGCAGACUGUUUAAAACAAGUUUAUUCCUUUGAGAGUGAGAAAUUGAAAAAGGAUAGUCUAAGAUAUGAAUGAUGCGAAUCCCAUCAGCAAACAUUAUAAUAAUGAUGCACGUAAAUUUGCUUAGAUUGGACAGACCAACAGUUUCUCUCAGAAUCAAAAUUAAUCAUUCAUACAAUUCAUAUCAUGAUAGAGUUCCGGUGGAGCAAUUUCAUACAUGAUGGAUUGGUGUAUGUGGGUCUAGGUGUUAGUCAGUAGGACAGAUGCAGCCGCACGAUUAU